GUGCUCACUUUGGUAGCACAUACAGUAAAAUUGGAAAAAUACAAACAAGAUUAGCAUGGCCACUGCACAAAGAUGACUGUGAAUUAGGGGAACAUUCCAUGUUCUA
Myodes glareolus (Bank vole) is the source of this 106-nucleotide small nuclear RNA. The record is from RefSeq and is a predicted model, not a curated record. Lineage: Eukaryota; Metazoa; Chordata; Mammalia; Rodentia; Cricetidae.